This 2463-nucleotide long non-coding RNA is filed under the name Homo sapiens (human). RNAcentral describes it as "HSALNT0068446". Lineage: Eukaryota; Metazoa; Chordata; Mammalia; Primates; Hominidae. The record is from RNAcentral.
CUGCUGACGAGUGUACCCUUUCUACAGAAAGUAAAAAAAGGAAAAAAAGGCCUUGCUGAGGAAAUUAAACUUAUGUUCAAGUGCUAUUUCUUUAUGGCACCUAGGAACAAGCAUUUCUAACAGUAAGACUCUGUCUCAAAAAAAAAAAAGAAAGACAAAAAAAAAAAAUAUUUAAAGCUAGAAAUGCCCCUAGUUGGAUUUUGUGAGUCAACAGAUCAUAAAGAUUAAGAAAAGGCUCAGCAUCUGCUGAUCUGGGUUCAAAUCCCAGCUACACAACUCACAGCGUGCGAACCUGGCAGGGCCUCUAAGAUCUCAGUUUCCUCAUCUGUGAAAUGGGGAAACAACAGCACCAGCAUUCAACAAAGCAUUCCAUAAAUGCAAGCUGUUAGCCCAGCGUGGAGACCGAUAUUCUGGAAGUUGGUAAUGAAGAAACUGAGGCCCCAGAGGCACAGACACUGGCCCAAGUUUGCACACGAAGCUGGGGACACAGCUGAGAUGGGAGCCCAGACAGACGGGUUACAGCAAGAUUCCUGACCAACCACGCAGGCGGGCCGCGCAGUCCAGCAGCCAAGAGAACAGGCUCUAGAGGCCACCUGCCUGGGGAAGCAGGGAAGAUGCCCAGGAAGGUUCCUUCUUGCUAGAAGCUUUGCAAAGGCCGCUGGCCACACCCACAACUGCUGGCUGAGAGGCCUGGUGGGCUCACAACUCAGGAAGACCCCACCCACCUGCCCGCCCCCACGAACAGCCCAGGAGCAGGACUGAGCUCAGCACAGUGGAGCUGAUUUACCUGCUGCAGCCUUUCUCCUCUGCCAGAGGUCUUCUGGGGCCACCAGAACCUGGCCAUGCUCACAGAGUGUCCAGCCCUCACUGAGCACAGGCCCUAGCAUGGACCAUGGGAAAAGAGACAGCAGCAAAGAGGAUGAAAGACACGUCAAUAAUGAAGCAGAUAAAAAAUUACAGAACUCAAAUAGAAAACUUGGGGUGAAACAUGCAUCUUGUAACGAGGAAGCAACCGUGUUAAUGGGUGCCAUGUACUGCAGAUGAUGGAACAGAAAGACACAGGGAGCCCGAGCCUCUGGGAGCACCACUGAGCUGCUAUGGCAGCCAGGUCUUCCCAUUUCUAGACUUCCUGUUAUAUGAAGAAACAAAAAUUUAGUUAAGGUCCUCCAGUAAUAUUUCUGUUGCAUGCAGUCAACCAUAGUCCCUAAUUCAGUGCACAAUGCCCAAGGUGCACAAAGGAGAAAGGAUAAAAGGACUUCUUAGGAACAUGAUCUUUGAGUUGAUCUUGACAAAUGAAUAGAGUCUAAGAUUUCCCAUGGGCGAAGGCACAGAGGGGCAGCCUCUUAUUCUCCCCGCCUGCCAGGGCUUCGAUACCUGAAUGUGCAGUCAUCGUGUGACACCCACCUUCCAGAACCUCUUACUUUUUCUUGGGCACCUGAAACUAAGAAUCUGGUCUUUGACCAACUAAAUCAAUCAUCACCUUCUCCCAUUCAACAUUCCAACCCCCAGGCUGGGCGCGGUGGGUCACGCCUGUAAUCCCAGCACUUUGGGAGGCCGAGGCGGGCAGAUCACCUGAGGUCAGGGGUUCAAGACCAGCCUGGUCAACAUGAUGAAACCCCAUUUCUACUAAAAAUACAAAAAAAUUAGCCAGGCGUGGUGUUAGGUGCCUGUAAUCCCAGCUACUCAAGAAGCUGAGGCAGGAGAAUCGCUUGAACGCAGAAGGUGGAGUUUGCAGUGAGCUGAGCCUGUGCCACUGCACUCCAGCCUGGGCAACAGAGUGGUAUAAGGAAGUGGGGCCUUUGGGGAAUUAUUAGCUCAUGAGGGUGGUGCUUUCAUGAGGAGGAUCAGUGCCCUUAUAAAAAAGACACUCCAGAGAGCUCCCUUGCCCCUUCUGCCAUGUGAGAACACAGUGAGAAGGUGCCAUCUAUAAACCAGGAAGUGAGCCCUCACCAGACACCAAAUCUUCCAGCACCUUGAUCUUGGACUUCCCAGCCUCCAGAACUGUGUGAAAUAAAUUUCUAUUGUUUAUAAGCCAUCCACUCUACAGUAUUUUUAUUAUAGCAGCCCACAUGGACUAAGACAGGAACCUUCUAGGAGCCUGGCUCUGGGCUCUGUGCCUCACAUUUAUCUCAUUUCACUCUUGCAACCACCCUGAGAUAAGGACAUUUGUCCCCACUUUGCAGGGGCAGAAGGAACUGAGGUGCAAAGAAAUUAGCAACCCAGCCAAGGUCACACAGCUAGUAAGUAAGGUAGGUUGGUGUGGAAUUCAGACCUGCCUGUGUACCUUCAAAGUAUGCUUGCACUCUAGUUCCCCAUUCUGCUAUCAGGAGCCUUGAAUUCAACAUCCAACCCAAACACCACCACCAUGUGUGGCUUAGAUAAAUUAAUUUCACCUCCUUGAGCCUCAGUUUGUCCAUGUCUAAGUUGAGAGAGUUCUGGGGGCUAAAUAGGAGGUCUCAAAGG